CAAACAUGAAAAUGGUUUCAUAAAGAUUGAUAAUAUCAAGACCUGAUUCAGAAUGUAAUUUACAUUCUUAAGUAACAUGGUUUCGCUAUUGAUUAACAUUUGUUUACAAGUUUCGUAAGAGUAUGAUAUGGGAAGAAAAGUGAAGUAGAAUAGAACUAUCUUAUGACAGAAUAACGCUAACUUUUUUUUAGCAUUUCCUAGGUUUUGCUCUGUGCUAAGUACAUUUGGUGUACAUACCUUGUAUCAUUUCAUCGACCAACAGCAAAUAUCUAAGGCAAAAUCUAUUACUAUCUCCAUUUCACAGAUGAGGAGUAUGAGGCAGAGAGGGUGUAAUUUAUCCUGAGUAUACAGCCGGAAAGCUGAAUCUGAACACAAACAGUACUCCACAGAACUCUUGCUUUGGAACUCAAGCUACCAAAAGAUAAGGAUCUUGGCUGAUGACACAAAAAGAAAACCAAGUGCAGAGUUGGUGCCUAGUGAGAAAUGGAUGGAAGGUGAUUCUGUAGAAAUUGCAAGUGCAAGCAAGUAAGAGAGUGUAUUCUCUUAAGUCUUCAUUAUUCACCACCCCCCCAUUGUAAGUAGAAAAAUGAGUUUUGCAUUUACGUGUGUGUGUGUGUGUGUGUGUGUGUGUGUG
Molecule: long non-coding RNA, 634 nt
Filed under: Felis catus (domestic cat)
Lineage: Eukaryota; Metazoa; Chordata; Mammalia; Carnivora; Felidae
Description: lncRNA (ENSFCAG00000043302.2)
Source: RNAcentral